Molecule: unclassified non-coding RNA, 349 nt
Filed under: soil metagenome
Description: partial contains 5.8S ribosomal RNA, internal transcribed spacer 2, and large subunit ribosomal RNA
Rfam family: 5.8S ribosomal RNA (bases 1-119)
Source: RNAcentral
GAUGAAGACGUAGUGAACUGCGAUAAGUAAUGUGAAUUGCAGAAUUCAGUGAAUCAUCGAGUCUUUGAACGCACAUUGCGCCCCCUGGCAUUCCGGGGGGCAUGCCUGUCCGAGCGUCAUUGCUGCCCUUCAAGCCCGGCUUGUGUGUUGGGUCGUCGUCCCCCCCGGGGGACGGGCCCGAAAGGCAGCGGCGGCACCGCGUCCGGUCCUCGAGCGUAUGGGGCUUUGUCACCCGCUCGAUUAGGGCCGGCCGGGCGCCAGCCGGCGUCUCCAACCUUCUAUUUUACCAGGUUGACCUCGGAUCAGGUAGGGAUACCCGCUGAACUUAAGCAUAUCAAUAAGCGGAGGA